UCUUCCUCCCCGGCUCAUUCCCCACCCCACCCCUCAAUCCCCACCAACCACCGCCCUCUCCACCAUCGUCGAGCACCUCCAUCAGCCACCCACCCGCUGGCGCCAACCCUGACGACCCAGGCGCACCCGAGACCCGGCGCCCCCAUCCAUCUACCUCCUCACUGCGUCGCGCCGCCGCGCCACCAAAGCGCUACCCGGCGAUGGAUCCAAGCCGGCAACCGCCCCAGCGUGCCUCCUGGCGGCGGAUCCGGGCCGGCAACUAUUCCCCUCCUCCCCCACGACUGGUUUCCUCUCCUUUGUGUCAAGAUCGACGGUGUUCAGUGUAGAAGCCGGACGACGUGAUGCUGCUGUUACCGAUCUGCUGCAGCAUCUCUUGUUCGACUCCGAGAUCACUGGCGAUGAACACAAUCAGUUGUAGCGCAUGGCAUGGCGUUGGUGGGGAGAUACAAAGGGAAGAUGAUAAGGGAAGAUGAUAGGGGAUUACUCGAUAAGUAUGCGGAGGUGCUGUAAAGUUUCCUCCUUUAUGUAUAGUUAUUUGAUUAUCCAUCUAAAUAUCAUCCCAUGUAUAUGUAUGAAACUCAUUUUGUGCUGCUAAAUUUGUUGUAUAGAUUUAGUAUUAUUUGGUGUUAAACUUAUAAUGAUCAAAACAAUGCUAAACUUACAUGUCGAUUCAUCAUUUGUA
Molecule: long non-coding RNA, 682 nt
Organism: Triticum aestivum (bread wheat)
Lineage: Eukaryota; Viridiplantae; Streptophyta; Magnoliopsida; Poales; Poaceae
Exons: 3
Source: RefSeq, a predicted model, not a curated record